UAAAGAAUUGCUGUUUGAAUCUACAAGCUGUGAGUGGCUCGUGAUCUUGUGCCCAGCCAAGACUGCAGCAUACUAGGACUUCAGUCCCUUCUCUUUUGAUUUGCAGCCAUGAAUAAAUGGCCUCUGCCACCAACCACAUGCUCUUGCCAUGAUGUACUGUGCCACCACAGGGGCCAGUCAGCAAUGGGGCCAAUUAGUCAUGGACUGAAACAUACAAAACUGUGAGCCAAAAUAAACUUCUCAUUUUUUGUUGAUUUAUCACAGAUAUUUGCUGUAGUAACAGAAAGCUGACUAAUAUAACACAUAAAAUAGUUUUUGUUUUGGGAUGUUUUAUUGUGCAGCAAUAAACAAAUGGAACAAUGCAGUUUAAAAAUGUUUUAACUAGAGCAUUCUUUUGAAAGUCUUUGUUGACAUUAUCCCUUCAUUGCAAGAGUAACACUUGUGCAUUGUGCCACCUAUGCAUUAUGUCACAAAUAAAGCAUUGUUUAGGGUGAGAACAUUGUCCUACUUUUUUUUUCUUUUUGUAGCUUCAGUAUGUAGCAUAUUGCUUGGCCUUCUAGAGGCUUGAUGAAAAUUUAAUGAGUUAAUACUUCUCACUUCCUUUCUUCCAUCUUUUAUAUUACUGUCCUUCCAUUCUUAUUAAAAAGAAGGCUAAACCCUAGAAUUCUGGAAUGAUGCUCUAGGAAUUGAGCUCCCACUGCUCUAGAGGCCUGGGGAGGAUAGUGCCUCAUGGAUGGGCUGGCCAGGGCUCAGGCAGAGGGCUGCUACCUUCACCUGAUUCCAAGUUCCUGCAAAUACCUUCCUUGAUUGAAGGUGAGACUGUGACUUUAUAAGAAUGAACUCUGAUUAAUACUUUCAAGGUUAACAUCUUUAAGGCAUUGUGUGGGCUUUGGUAAUACAGCAGCUGAACUACAAUGUUCUGAGGAAUUUGGAGGGGGAGAAAUCUCUGAAUACCAAUAGGUUAUCUGGCCUUGGGCAUGUCCUCCCCUCUCUGGCUCAGAUUCUUCCUUGAGUCUCCUUAGCCAAAGCACAAUUAGGAAAAACCUGAGGUAAUCAGAGUGGGCUCUGGCAAUGCCCCAAUAUGCCAGGGACAAAUGCACCCCUGUAAUGUUUCAAAUUCUUUAGAAAAUGUGGGCGGACACUAUGGAAAGAGAAAGUUACAAAACAGCACAGAGCGUUCCCUGUUUGAAAUUUUAUCCAGCCUCUCUCUGGAACCAAGUUGGGGAAGGCUGUUUGCCAAUGUGUUAUCUGUGGUUAUCUGAGGGGGCAGGAAGAAAUUAUUCUGGGUAAUUUUUAUUUUAUUUUUGGCAUGCUUCCAAGCAUUCUUCAAUAAACAUCUAUUACUUUUCAUAAUCAAGAAAUUAAAAAACAUUUUUAAAAGCAGGCUGUUUGGCACACAUCCUUUGUCAUUUUUUGCUAAGCACAUAAAUUGCUUCUAAAUAGAAGUAAAAAAGAGAGGAAUCAUCCAUGCAGCCUUGUAGGUAGAGAUUGUGGGAGUUAUUUAACUUAUUAGUUGUUUACUGCUGUAUAACAAAUCAUCACAAAUUUAAGUGGCUUUAAACAGCAAAAUUUCUGUGGGUUGAGAGAACAGGCAUGCUGUAGCCAAAUCCUCUGUUAAGAAACUCAAGGGGCUGGGGUUGUGGCUCAAUGGUAGAGCACUUGCCUAGCAUGUGUGAGGCACUUGGUUCAAGUCUCAACACCACAUAUAAAUAAAUAAAAUAAAGAUCCAUCAACAACUUAAAAAAAAAAGAAACUCAAGCUGUUGGGCCAGGCUGUCUUUAUCUGGCGGUAUGAAUAAUACUGUGGUUUGAAUGUGUCCCCCCAAAGUUUAUAUAUUAUAAAUUUAAUCCCCAAAGCUAUAUGCUAAUGGUAUUUGAGGGUAGGGCCUUUGGAAGAUAAUUAGGAUUAGAUGAGGUAAUGACCCCCAUGAUAGCAUUAGUUGUUUUAUAUGAGGAAGAGAAAUCUGAGAUAGCAGAUUUGCUGUACCUUGUCAUAUGAUACCUUCUGCCAUGUUAUGAUGCAGAAAGAAGGCUUUACCAGAUGUCAAGCAGAUGCUAGCACCUUACUUUUGACUCUCCAGUUUCUGAGACUAUAAGAAAUCAAUUUUCUUAAAAUUACCCAGUUUCAGGCAUUUUAUUGUAGCAUCAGAAAAUGGAAAGAAAAAUGAGGAAGACUCCACUUCCAUGUUCACUCUAGUUGUUGUCAGAAUUCAGUUCCCUGUAGCUAUAGGAGAGAGGGCCCCAACUUACUGCUGUUCUUUGGUUGAAAGCUACUCUCAGCUCCUGGAGGCCACCCAGUUUCUUUUCCACAUGGGCUUUCCAAAAAGGCCACUUUCUGCCAAAACCAUCAGGGAAAACCUCUAUAACAAGUGUGCUAACACAAUGACAUCUUGUCUUAUUGAGUUAUACUCAUAGCGUGAAGUACCAUUGCCUUUACAAGACACAAGUGGCUGAAACAAAUUACAAGUCUCACUUACCUUGAAGUGAGAUUACAAAGAUUACAAGAAUUACAAAGGUAUUAUUCAUGUGAUGGGCUGAAUGUUUUGGUCAUUCCAACAGUCAUAUUGAAGCUCUAAUCCCUUGUAUGACUGUAUUUGAAGAUGUAGCCUCUAAGGAAGUAAUUAAGUUUAAGUGAGGUCACAAGGGUGGGGCCCUGAUCAAAUAGGAUAGCAUCCUUGUAAGGAUAUAUAACAGAGAAUUCUCGUUUUCUCAUGUACAUGUACUGAGGAAAGCUCAUGUGAAGAUACGUUGAGAAGACCUUCAGGAAGAAAACCCUCACCCAGAAACCAAAGUGACUGGUCACCCUGACCUCAAACGUCCAAGAUCAAGAACUGUCAACUGGCAUGAGUGGCAUCCAAGGGCCUCAGCCCACAAGAGAAAUGGACUGUGAUAUGUUUUCCUGUCACCAGCAUUCCUGAGAGUGGUAGGGGAGCAUCCUAUCCAAAGGUUGAAGACUAGUCACCUGGAAUCCAAGAAUCUUCAAAUGGUAACUCUGAAUAUAAAAGACUUCAUUAC
Molecule: non-coding RNA, 3014 nt
Organism: Ictidomys tridecemlineatus (thirteen-lined ground squirrel)
Lineage: Eukaryota; Metazoa; Chordata; Mammalia; Rodentia; Sciuridae
Source: RefSeq, a predicted model, not a curated record